CUCCAGAGCCCUUUGUGUUCCUCUAUUAUCUUUUCCUCAUUUUUCUCUUUCCGUUUACCCUCCCUAUUCUUGCCGUUUUUCUCUGCCCUUCCGCACAAGAACCACAAAUUUCUCCCUAACAAUUCCAAACCAUUUAACCCCCAAUUCUAUUUCUAAGUCCAUAUUCUCUUUUACCUUUUAUCUUUUAUCUUUUUUCCUUUAAUGCCUUUUAACAGGAUUAACCCAUGAUAAUGGAGAUGGGAAGAUCAAAAAGACGGAAUUUAUUGCUAUAUUGAAACAGGGCAAAUCCAAAAGUGAAUAUGGAAAUUACCAUCGAAAAGACUCAUGCUUGAACCCCCGACCUGAAUUUCUACCAACAUGCUAAGUGAAUAUGAAAGUGAAAGAUCUAAAGGAUUGUUCUAUAUUCUUUUCUCCGAGUUAGCAAAUGCCACUGGCGUUCUAUAGUGUUAGGAAGUUAAAUAUAUGGCUCAACUUUAGGAUGGAAUACUAGCGCCAACAUUCUACAAGGUGGAAUUUGAUUUGAAAGGUUAUUUCCACCCUUGGUCAAAAAUUUUUGAGACAAUGAAAAAGGAAGAGAAAAGAAGGUUAUACUGACGAUGAAGACAUGGUGUAAGUGAGGGCUAUCGUCUCUUGAUAAAGUUUUAAGAUGCAUCUAGAGAUGAGGUGAAAGCGGAAAGUAGUGACAAUGCUGGUUUAGAGCUUUUUUGAGCUUCCAAUGUUUGGGUAAUACAUUCCCAAUGAUUAUUAAAGGACUUAUCUGGAAAAAGGCUGUUCACUAUAAUGACAUCAAGUAUCCGUUGUUAUCUAGCUGAGUGAUAUUCUAUACCCUUUAUCAGCCAACCUUGUGAAGAGGAUUGACUAUGAAAGAGCAGUUGUUGCAUUGACCGUUCUCAUUUAAGUUAAAUGUAGCAGUAUUUACGUAAAAUACUUUCUGGCUGUUUUAUUGUCAUUUGAGGAAUUAUCAAUGAGGAAAGCAAUUUUAUUGUUUUGGGAUGUUA
This is a long non-coding RNA of Nicotiana attenuata, 998 nucleotides long. RefSeq lists it as uncharacterized. The record is from RefSeq and is a predicted model, not a curated record. The transcript is spliced from 3 exons. NCBI's taxonomy places the organism in Eukaryota, Viridiplantae, Streptophyta, Magnoliopsida, Solanales, Solanaceae.